This 777-nucleotide ribosomal RNA is filed under the name uncultured Neocallimastigales. Its description in RNAcentral is "partial large subunit ribosomal RNA". It matches the Rfam family "Eukaryotic large subunit ribosomal RNA", at positions 24 to 611 of the family's 3401-position model. The record is from RNAcentral. Lineage: Eukaryota; Fungi; Neocallimastigomycota; Neocallimastigomycetes; Neocallimastigales.
UAUCUCUGUAGAGUCUGCAUAUCAAUAAGCGGAGGAAAAGAAACUAACUAGGAUUCCCUCAGUAACGGCGAGUGAAGCGGGAAGAGCUCAAAUUUGAAAUCUUCAAGGUUUUACCUUGACGAAUUGUAGUUUAAAGAAGUGUUUUCUGUUGGAAGUUUUGGUAAAAGUUCUUUGGAAAUAGGACAUCAUAGAGGGUGAGAAUCCCGUAUUUGACCAGUUAUUUCCAGCUUUGUGAUACACUUUCAAAGAGUCGGAUUGUUUGGGAAUGCAGUCCAAAAUGGGUGGUAAAUUUCAUCUAAAGCUAAAUACUGGCGAGAGACCGAUAGCGAACAAGUACCGUGAGGGAAAGAUGAAAAGAACUUUGAAAAGAGAGUUAAACAGUACGUGAAAUUGUCAAAAGGGAAGCGUUUGACACCAGUGUUGUUUUCUCGAAAAUCAAUUAAAAAUGGUGGGAUUUUGUGUUGUAUUGACUUUAUCAGCUUUCUGCACUUUUUUCCUAUCUUUUUUAAUGCACUUUUCGUUUAACAAGUCAACAUCAAUUUCUUUUGCUGUAAAAGAGUCAUUGGAAGGUGGCUUUCUUUUCGGAGAAAGUGUUUAUAGCCUUUGACUUCUGCAGUCGGAGAGAUUGAGGUCUGCAGCGUAGAUCCUUCGGGGUUAGAUACAUUUGUGCUAAGCUAUAGCCUUUCAUAGACAACUUGUUGACUAUGAUCAGUCAUGUAGCUUACUCGCUUAUGCUAUUUUACCUACGCUUAGGAUGUUGAACGCGCACAGAGUCUC